RNAcentral lists this long non-coding RNA (321 nucleotides) under Salmo salar (Atlantic salmon). RNAcentral's name for it is "lncRNA (ENSSSAG00000105846.1)". The record is from RNAcentral. Lineage: Eukaryota; Metazoa; Chordata; Actinopteri; Salmoniformes; Salmonidae.
GUGUGUGUGAUGGAGAAAGGUGUGUGUGUGUGUGUGAUGGAGAAAGGUGUGUGUGUGUGUGUGAUAGAGAAAGGUGUGUGUGUGUGUGUGAUGGAGAAAGGUGUGUGUGUGUGAUGGAGAAAGGUGUGUGUGUGUGUGUGAUAUGGAGAAAGGUGUGUGUGUGUGAUGGAGAAAGGUGUGUGUGUGUGUGAUGGAGAGAGGUGUGUGUGUGUGAUGGAGAAAGGUGUGUGUGUGUGAUGGAGAGAGGUGUGUGUGAGAAAAAGAAGCAUUGAGAGGAAAAGAGAUGAAACAGGAAACAGGAGAGAGCGAGAGAGACGGGGA